AGAGUUUGAUCCUGGCUCAGGAUGAACGCUGGCGGCGUGCUUAACACAUGCAAGUCGAACGAUGAUCCCAGCUUGCUGGGGGAUUAGUGGCGAACGGGUGAGUAACACGUGAGUAACCUGCCCUUAACUCUGGGAUAAGCCUGGGAAACUGGGUCUAAUACCGGAUAUGACUCCUCAUCGCAUGGUGGGGGGUGGAAAGCUUUAUUGUGGUUUUGGAUGGACUCGCGGCCUAUCAGCUUGUUGGUGAGGUAAUGGCUCACCAAGGCGACGACGGGUAGCCGGCCUGAGAGGAUGACCGGCCACACUGGGACUGAGACACGGCCCAGACUCCUACGGGAGGCAGCAGUGGGGAAUAUUGCACAAUGGGCGAAAGCCUGAUGCAGCGACGCCGCGUGAGGGAUGACGGCCUUCGGGUUGUAAACCUCUUUCAGUAGGGAAGAAGCGAAAGUGACGGUACCUGCAGAAGAAGCGCCGGCUAACUACGUGCCAGCAGCCGCGGUAAUACGUAGGGCGCAAGCGUUAUCCGGAAUUAUUGGGCGUAAAGAGCUCGUAGGCGGUUUGUCGCGUCUGCCGUGAAAGUCCGGGGCUCAACUCCGGAUCUGCGGUGGGUACGGGCAGACUAGAGUGAUGUAGGGGAGACUGGAAUUCCUGGUGUAGCGGUGAAAUGCGCAGAUAUCAGGAGGAACACCGAUGGCGAAGGCAGGUCUCUGGGCAUUAACUGACGCUGAGGAGCGAAAGCAUGGGGAGCGAACAGGAUUAGAUACCCCGGUAGUCC
This 775-nucleotide ribosomal RNA is filed under the name uncultured Arthrobacter sp. Its description in RNAcentral is "bacterial SSU rRNA". It matches the Rfam family "Bacterial small subunit ribosomal RNA", at positions 8 to 796 of the family's 1533-position model. Lineage: Bacteria; Bacillati; Actinomycetota; Actinomycetes; Micrococcales; Micrococcaceae. The record is from RNAcentral.